Molecule: ribosomal RNA, 403 nt
Filed under: uncultured bacterium
Lineage: Bacteria
Description: partial 16S ribosomal RNA
Rfam family: Bacterial small subunit ribosomal RNA
Source: RNAcentral
GACGAACGCUGGCGGCGUGCCUAAUACAUGCAAGUCGAACGCAGUGGGGACGGGUGAGUAACACGUGGGUAACCUCCCAUCAGAGGGGAUAACACUUGGAAACAGGUGCUAAACCGAUACUGAUGGAUGGACCCGCGGUGCAUUAGCUAGUUGGUGAGGUAACGGCUCACCAAGGCCACGAUGCAUAGCCGGCGUGAGAGGGUGAUCGGACACACUGUGACUGAGACACGGCCCAAACUCCGACGGGAGGCAGCAGUGGGGAAUCUUGCGCAAUGGGCGAAAGCCUGACGCAGCCAUGCCGCGUGAAUGAUGAAGGUCUUAGGAUUGUAAAGCACUUUUGGCAGGAAAGCGGUACCUGCAGAAUAAGCACCGGCUAACUACGUGCCAGCAGCCGCGGUAAUUC